This 254-nucleotide ribosomal RNA is filed under the name uncultured bacterium. RNAcentral describes it as "partial 16S ribosomal RNA". It matches the Rfam family "Bacterial small subunit ribosomal RNA", at positions 524 to 776 of the family's 1533-position model. The record is from RNAcentral.
GACGUAGGAUGCAAGCGUUGUCCGGAUUUAUUGGGCGUAAAGAGCUCGUAGGCGGUUGGGUAAGUCGGGUGUGAAAACUCCAGGCUCAACUUGGAGACGCCACCCGAUACUGCUCUGACUUGAGUUCGGUAGGGGAGUGGGGAAUUCCUGGUGUAGCGGUGAAAUGCGCAGAUAUCAGGAGGAACACCAACGGCGAAGGCAGCACUCUGGGCCGGUACUGACGCUGAGGAGCGAAAGCGUGGGGAGCGAACAGG